UAAUCCAAGAAAGAAAUAAUGUGAUUAGCUGCUGAGGAACAUAAUACUGAACUAGGUAAAUUUGUAUAGUAUAUAAGUGUGUCUAACUAGUACAAGGCUCGAUAACAAAAAUGCUAAGUUGCGACAGCUAUUCUUAUACUUCAAAUCUACUAACUGCAGUGCAAAAUAGAAAGCUAUAUUCUUUUCAAAUGUUGUAAGUUGUAACACAUUGUAUGACGUAUGGAAAACUUUGCAGACACAUAUCUUCAUUGCUGAAAAUGUCUGCCUAUACUCUGAUCAAACGGCUAGCCAAUAGCCAACCGUUAGAAGCUUUAUACGUGCUGAUCCUUGCUAGAAUUCCAGCUAGGGGCCUGAGCAACAACACUAUCUGGUAAAUUGCCAGAGCCUUUUUCAACAUUUAUUAGAGGAUCGGUUUCACUUUCGUUUACCUGAGACAGAAGUGAGGUAGCGUCUAUAGACUUCUGCUGGCUCUCAAUGGAACAACAAUAUGAAUAGAGUAUCAUCCCAAGCAUAGCAAUGACGAUACCCAGAAUGUUUCGCCAGCUGAAGGGAUCACGAAGUAGA
This 564-nucleotide unclassified non-coding RNA is filed under the name Hevea brasiliensis (rubber tree). Lineage: Eukaryota; Viridiplantae; Streptophyta; Magnoliopsida; Malpighiales; Euphorbiaceae. The record is from RNAcentral.